Molecule: ribosomal RNA, 497 nt
Filed under: uncultured bacterium
Lineage: Bacteria
Description: partial 16S ribosomal RNA
Rfam family: Bacterial small subunit ribosomal RNA
Source: RNAcentral
GAUGAACGCUGGCGGCGUGCCUAAUACAUGCAAGUCGAGCGAACAGACGAGGAGCUUGCUCCUCUGACGUUAGCGGCGGACGGGUGAGUAACACGUGGAUAACCUACCUAUAAGACUGGGAUAACUUCGGGAAACCGGAUCUAAUACCGGAUAAUAUAUUGAACCGCAUGGUUCAAUAGUGAAAGACAGUUUGGCUGUCACUUAUAGAUGGAUCCGCGCCGCAUUAGCUAGUUGGUAAGGUAACGGCUUACCAAGGCGACGAUGCGUAGCCGACCUGAGAGGGUGAUCGGCCACACUGGAACUGAGACACGGUCCAGACUCCUACGGGAGGCAGCAGUAGGGAAUCUUCCGCAAUGGGCGAAAGCCUGACGGAGCAACGCCGCGUGAGUGAUGAAGGUCUUCGGAUCGUAAAACUCUGUUAUUAGGGAAGAACAACUGUGUAAGUAACUAUGCACGUCUUGACGGUACCUAAUCAGAAAGCCACGGCUAACUACGUG